UACGGGGGGGGGCAAGCGUUGUUCGGAUUUACUGGGCGUAAAGGGCGCGUAGGCGGUCGUGACAAGUCACUUGUGAAAUCUCCGGGCUUAACUCGGAACGGUCAAGUGAUACUGUCGGACUAGAGUACAGAAGGGGCAACUGGAAUUCUCGGUGUAGCGGUGAAAUGCGUAGAUAUCAAGAGGAACACCUGCGGCGAAGGCGGGUUGCUGGGCUGACACUGACGCUGAGGCGCGAAAGCUAGGGGAGCGAACGGG
This 255-nucleotide ribosomal RNA is filed under the name uncultured bacterium. Its description in RNAcentral is "partial 16S ribosomal RNA". It matches the Rfam family "Bacterial small subunit ribosomal RNA", at positions 524 to 776 of the family's 1533-position model. The record is from RNAcentral.